This 253-nucleotide ribosomal RNA is filed under the name uncultured bacterium. RNAcentral describes it as "partial 16S ribosomal RNA". It matches the Rfam family "Bacterial small subunit ribosomal RNA", at positions 524 to 776 of the family's 1533-position model. The record is from RNAcentral.
GACAGAGGGUGCAAACGUUGUUCGGAAUUACUGGGCGUAAAGAGCGUGUAGGCGGCUGCGUAAGUCGGGCGUGAAAUCCCAUGGCUCAACCAUGGAAGUGCACCCGAAACUGCGUAGCUAGAGUCCUGGAGAGGAAGGUGGAAUACUUGGUGUAGAGGUGAAAUUCGUAGAUAUCAAGUGGAACACCGGUGGCGAAGGCGGCCUUCUGGACAGUGACUGACGCUGAGACGCGAAAGCGUGGGGAGCAAACAGG